RNAcentral lists this ribosomal RNA (468 nucleotides) under uncultured bacterium. RNAcentral describes it as "partial 16S ribosomal RNA". It matches the Rfam family "Bacterial small subunit ribosomal RNA", at positions 28 to 507 of the family's 1533-position model. The record is from RNAcentral.
GACGAACGCUGGCGGCGUGCUUAACACAUGCAAGUCGAACGGAAAGGCCCUGCUUUUGUGGGGUGCUCGAGUGGCGAACGGGUGAGUAACACGUGAGUAACCUCCCCUUGACUUUGGGAUAACUUCAGGAAACUGGGGCUAAUACCGGAUAGGAGCUACUGCUGCAUGGUGUGGGUUGGAAAGUUUCGGCGGUUGGGGAUGGACUCGCGGCUUAUCAGCUUGUUGGUGGGGUAGUGGCUUACCAAGGCUUUGACGGGUAGCCGGCCUGAGAGGGUGACCGGCCACAUUGGGACUGAGAUACGGACCAGACUCCUACGGGACGCAGCAGUGGGGAAUAUUGCACAAUGGGCGGAAGCCUGAUGCGGCAACGCCGCGUGCGGGAAGACGGCCUUCGGGUUGUAAACCGCUUUCGCCUGUGACGAAGCGUGAGUGACGGUAAUGGGUAAAGAAGCACCGGCUAACUACGUG